Salvia miltiorrhiza (redroot sage) is the source of this 510-nucleotide long non-coding RNA. RefSeq lists it as uncharacterized. The transcript has 4 exons. The record is from RefSeq and is a predicted model, not a curated record. NCBI's taxonomy places the organism in Eukaryota, Viridiplantae, Streptophyta, Magnoliopsida, Lamiales, Lamiaceae.
UCGUUCUACCACAACAGCCGCUCCAUCUCUCCUCUCAAUUCAGUCGAGCAGCAACAACAAAAGCUAUCAUCGUCCUUCCCCGAUGGCUAAAUGCAGCAGCAGCGACUCCUCCGCCCAACUUCCGCCAUCUGCCUACAUACAAAACUCGUACUCUAAAGGGAUUUGAAGAGAAAUUGUCAAAAUUCAACUACUAUUCCUUGCAAAUGGAGAUGCUUCAGCUCUGACUUCUCAUUUUAAAGGAUUAUAAUAUAAAUGUAUUCGGAUCUUUUAAGAAUAAUAUGAACAUUCUGAUGGUGCACCUCUUCAGGAACAACUGAAAAGUACAAGGGAAAGGAAGAGAAAGUUAAAACAAUGUUUGGAUGUCACUUGUGGGAUUUGGUGCCUUGCAUAGCUAGAUUAAUUUAGAUUUUGUAAUUUGAUGUUACAUUUUUUAAUAAUAUAGUAGGUAGAUCAUUGUACGUUAAAAUAUGUAUUUCUAUAUUUGUAAUAAAAUAUAUAUUUUUUAAUUCA